GCCCAGACUCCUACGGGAGGCAGCAGUGGGGAAUAUUGCACAAUGGGGGAAACCCUGAUGCAGCGACGCCGCGUGAAGGAAGAAGUAUUUCGGUAUGUAAACUUCUAUCAGCAGGGAAGAAAAUGACGGUACCUGACUAAGAAGCCCCGGCUAACUACGUGCCAGCAGCCGCGGUAAUACGUAGGGGGCAAGCGUUAUCCGGAUUUACUGGGUGUAAAGGGAGCGUAGGCGGUUUAGCAAGUCAGAAGUGAAAGCCCGGGGCUCAACUCCGGGACUGCUUUUGAAACUGUUGAACUAGUUUGCAGGAGAGGUAAGUGGAAUUCCUAGUGUAGCGGUGAAAUGCGUAGAUAUCACGCAGAACUCCGAUUGCGAAGGCAGCGCACCGGCGCCCUACUGACGCUCAGGCACGAAAGCGUGGGUAUCGAACAGGAUUAGAUACCCCCGUACUA
Molecule: ribosomal RNA, 449 nt
Filed under: uncultured bacterium
Lineage: Bacteria
Description: bacterial SSU rRNA
Rfam family: Bacterial small subunit ribosomal RNA
Source: RNAcentral